GUAUUCAUCAUCUCCAAAAUCAGCUAUGGCCUUUGCUCUCUUGUCCCAAGGGUUCCACACAACUGCAUCUGGCAACCCAUCCUUUCGAAUAACAAAUGUCCGUUUCUUUUCAUGAUCCAGGAUCGCAAUUUUUGUGGGGGUACUGAGAUAUAUUUUGUCCACUUCAGACUCAAAAGUAAUUGCAUCGCCUUGCUCAGUGAAUCUCUCCUUAUUCUCAAGAUAAUCAAGUGUCUCAAGGCCCUCCACGCGGACUUCACUGAUGUCUGAAACAGAG
RNAcentral lists this unclassified non-coding RNA (274 nucleotides) under Hevea brasiliensis (rubber tree). Lineage: Eukaryota; Viridiplantae; Streptophyta; Magnoliopsida; Malpighiales; Euphorbiaceae. The record is from RNAcentral.